CCUACGGGAGGCUGCAGUAGGGAAUCUUCCACAAUGGGCGAAAGCCUGAUGGAGCACCGCCGCGUGGGUGAAGAAGGUCUUCGGAUCGUAAAACCCUGUUGUUAGAGAAGAAAGUGCGUGCGAGUAACUGUUCACGUUUCGACGGUAUCUAACCAGAAAGCCACGGCUAACUACGUGCCAGCAGCCGCGGUAAUACGUAGGUGGCAAGCGUUAUCCGGAUUUAUUGGGCGUAAAGGGAACGCAGGCGGUCUUUUAAGUCUGAUGUGAAAGCCUUCGGCUUAACCGGAGUAGUGCAUUGGAAACUGGGAGACUUGAGUGCAGAAGAGGAGAGUGGAACUCCAUGUGUAGCGGUGAAAUGCGUAGAUAUAUGGAAGAACACCAGUGGCGAAAGCGGCUCUCUGGGCUGUAAAUGACGCUGAGGUUCGAAAGCGUGGGUAGCAAACAGGAUUAGAUACCCGUGUAGUC
This 465-nucleotide ribosomal RNA is filed under the name uncultured bacterium. RNAcentral describes it as "partial 16S ribosomal RNA". It matches the Rfam family "Bacterial small subunit ribosomal RNA", at positions 338 to 795 of the family's 1533-position model. The record is from RNAcentral.